AAUAUUGGACAAUGGGGGCAACCGUGUUCCAGCCAUGCCGCGUGUGUGAAGAAGGUCCUCGGUUUGUAAAGCACUUUAUGAUGGGAGGAAGUGCAUUAGGUUAAUACUCUGAAGUUUUGUGGUUACCAACAGAAUAAGUACCGGCGAACUCUGUCCCGGCAGCCGCGGUAAUACAGAGGGUGCAAGCGUUAAUCGGAAUUACUGGGCGUAAAGCGCGCGUAGGUGGCUCAGUAAGGUGGGUGUGAAAUCCCCGGGCUUAACCUGGGAACUGCUUUCAUAACUGCUGAGCUAGAGUACGGUAGAGGGUAGUGGAAUUUCCUGUGUAGCGGUGAAAUGCGUAGAUAUAGGAAGGAACACCAGUGGCGAAGGCGACUACCUGGACUGAUACUGACACUGAGGUGCGAAAGCGUGGGGAGCAAAC
Molecule: ribosomal RNA, 421 nt
Filed under: uncultured bacterium
Lineage: Bacteria
Description: partial 16S ribosomal RNA
Rfam family: Bacterial small subunit ribosomal RNA
Source: RNAcentral